GAUUGUGAAGGUGGGGUGAAUUACACAAGGAGGGAGAUUCGGGAUGAAUGAAGGAAAAUAAAAAGAAUGAAAGCCAGCGCCGAUAGAAGGUUGUGUCACAUAGGAGGCAGAGAAACCCAACUAAACAAAGGGUCCAGGGGCGAUUAAAGAAGCAGGUGUUUCGCCCAUAGGUUGCCUGCGAGUCACGUUGGAAAUAGUGCUCGCAUCAUGGACCACCAUGAUGCUGGAGUUGCAACGGCGAGCCAGUUGGGCCACUGCCUCCCUGACGUCGUUUUCAACACCGACCUAGAUGAUUGCAGCUCUCAUGUUGUAGUUGACAUGGGUGAUGACCAUUGCGGGCUUCGGCUUGCUCUUGGAGCCUGGUGGCCUGCCAAGGGGCCUCUUGGAGGAGGAGGAGGAGGAGGAGGACUUUGCUUGUUGGUUGGGACCAAGGACCAAGGGUGGCGGCAAGAGGUGGAAAUCGAAGGGUCCAGAACUUGGAGAGAGGUACAUUGGAAUGCCAUGGGGCCAUUGUUUGGUGAUGUUCUGAGAGCAUGAGGCAGUGAGUGUAGGAUGAAGCUUGAUGCUUUCUCAAUUGGAAUUUAUAGUAUGUUCAGGAAAUAUGAGAGUCUAUGUAUACUUAAGAUAAUUUGGGUUGUGGAACAUCCUAUGAAUAUUUUAUUAUUAUUAUUCCAAUGUUAGGGUUGGUCAAAAUUCUUUAUGAAUUUCGUGAUCAAUAUUCAAUAACCAAUAUGUCAAUCAUUUUAUUACUACUCAAAUGAUAGUUGUCAGUCAAAUUAUUUAAUUAUUAGUCAAAUUCUUUUGCGAUGCAAGUGGCGUUGAAAUUAUAAAUAAAUUGGAAUUCAAAAGGAUGUAAAAGGUAUUAAACUGAGGGCGUUACUUUUACUCCAAUUCAAUUCAUAUAUAGGUCAAUUCAAAAUUGAUUAAUUGUGCUUUAUCUAUUAUUUCACUCAUUUAUUCCUUUCUUUAUUAUUUUGGUUUUGAUUGUUUUGUUCUUUUUUUUUUUUUGAAAAGAUUGUUUUGUUCUUUUUUUAUGCAAAAAUAUCAUGCUCCUAAUUAAUCUAUUUGUCAAACUACCUUUAAGAAUUUAAUCUAUGUCACGAAGAAUAUUUCUCUACAUUUCAAAUAAACCCAUAUUUUAACUUUAUCAAAGCCCUAAUUAGUGUGGGUUAAAGCCGAAGGUAAACACGAUUUACCAUCGCCUUGGCAUCUGUAAGACUUGGAUAAUUAUUAAUAUUUUUAAAAUUAACAUUGAUUGUUUUCAUUAUCAUAAUUUUUUUUGAUGCUUAACAAGAAACAAACGAAAACAAAACAGAAAAAAACAAAGCGAAACACCCCCUACAACCUAACAAAGGUUGAGCCUAGAGAGUCAGCUAAAAGCAAAGGUUCCAAGUCAGGAGGGGGGUCCUGAACAAGGAGGAAAUCUAACCAGUCCCGUGGUUCAGAGCAGCUGAAGGAAGCAUGCCUCGGGCUAAGACCCAAGCGAAGCCAGAUGCGGCGAGCGAAAAAACAGUCCCGCAGACAAUGAAGGACAGUUUCUGGGUAUAAAUUACACCUUGGGCACAGCGGUGACGGGAACAUAUUCCGGCGAAAGCGAAGAUCAUUUACAGGAAGAGAAUUAUGGCAACAGAGCCAAAGUAAAAAGAGCACCUUGAAGGGCCCGUGCAGGCGCCAAACCCAGCUCCAAUCCUCAGCAGUAGAAGGAUUAUUCCCGCCAGGAUCCGACGCACGGCGCGCAGCCAGCAGCCAAUGAUACCCCUCCUUAGCUGAAUACAUACCAGAGAUUGAGGAAGACCAAACAAAACAAUCACGAACCUGACUACUGGUUGUACAGUCACGCUGCAUAAUCAACUGCUGGACAUCAGCUGGCAGCUGCGUAUAAAGAGAAGAGAAAUCCCAGCGGUAGUCCAUGAUUACAUCCCGCACAGUAGCUUCGAGGUCAUGAAUAUCCACAGCAGCAACCCGGUCACAAAGCUUGAAAUUGCCAAGCCAUUAUGUAAACCAGAGGGAUGAUGCUCCAUUCCCAAUCUUGAACGAGAAACCACUUUUAAUAACAUCUCUCGCUUUCUGAAUUGAUCGCCAAACCACAGACCCUCUCGUGCUUUGCAUAGACAACAAAUUCCCACGCGCACCAUACUUCCCUCUAAUCAAAAAAACCCAAGGUUUCGGCUCUUCCUGAAUUAACUGCCAAACAUUUUUCCCAAGAAGUGCAACGUUAUGUUCAUUAUCAUAAUGAUAAUGUGUGUGAAAUUCUGUGAAUUUUGAAUAUAAUAUUGAUAUGUUUAAUUUACAGUGUCUUUUUGUAGAAAAGUUUCUUAUACAAUAUCGAUCACGUAGCAAGAUUUUGGUGGACCACAUCUCGGAAGGGAUGUUAAGCGCGCGAGAUAUGCCUUGGGGGAGAAGAAAUAAUUGUUUGAAUUAUUUAGUGAUUUAUUUAAUGAUAAAUAGGAUUUUCUCUUAUUUUAAAUUAAGAGUCAAGAUGUUGAUUUAAUUUAUUUUAUUUUAUUUAACGCUAAAAAGCACUUUUGACCCCUGAUGCUUCAAGUUUGUGCAAAUUCUACCCUCAUUCUAUUUUUGUCGAAGUUUCUACCCUUCAUGUUUUCAAAAAGUGUAGCGUCUACUGUUUCAUCCAUUUCUGUUAAAAUUUGGGCGGUUUUUGCUGACAUGGCCACGUACCAUGACACGUCAGUAAAGAAAAUUGGAUCAUGGGAAAAAAUGGGGAUAAGAUUCGAACCCAUGAUCUUGGGAUGAUAAAACAAUCCUCUAACCAGUUGAGCUAUCAAUUCAAUUGUUUACAUAGUGAACAUACUAAUAUUUAGCCAAAAUCCAAAAAAUCCAAAACCCAGAAAUUUAAUAUCCAAAAUUCUUCAUCUUCUUUAAAAUCCAAAAAUCUUUGAUCUUGGUCUUCUUCUUCCUUCUGAAUUUUUGAAUUGGGGGUUAAAUUAGUGCAAAAUAAGAGCCUUAAAUGUCAUGAUGAACAAACAUAACAAUGAUACCCAGAAUUCAUCAAUUUUUGGGUUUUUCUUUGAUAUUGGAUGAUUUCAAAACAUAAUUCUGCAUUUUCUUUUCAAACGUGUCUUCUUUUCCAAAUUCUUGCUUUAAUAACUUUGAAUAUCCAGGUUUUUAAAGUAGUUUCCCUUUCAAUCUCUUUAACAGGUCUGUAAGUUCACUAGGGGGUUAAAGUUUUGGUCUUUGAUAUGCUGAACAUUUAAUGCUUAUUACUUCAUGCUUUGCAACCUAUAAUCAAGCUUUAAUACCUUUGAAUAUCCAGGUUUUUAAAGUAGUUUCCCUUUCAAUAUCUUUAACAGGUCUGUAAGUUCUCCAGGGGGUUCAAGUUUUGGUCUUUGAUAUGCUGAACAUUUAAUGCUUAUUACUGCAUGCUUUGCAACCUAUAAUCAAGCUUUUCAAUAUUACUAGAUGAUUCCAAAACAUAAUUCUGCGUCUUCUUCUCAAACAUGUCUUCUUUUCCAAAUUUUUGCUUUUAUAACUUUGAAUAUCCAGGUUUUUAAAGUAGUUUCCCUUUCAAUCUCUUUAAAAGGUAAAGAUAAAAAAUACAUUAUGUCACUUUUAUUGAUUUAUGAUAGUGCGCUUGCCCAUUAACAUAGGAAGGAAAGUCAAUUCUAUAUUUGUUGAGAGAUUAACAAUUCAGUUUUGUUAUGAAUGUGGAUAUACCAGGUCUCAUUUACCUGGAAAAUGCAAGGAAACUAUCAUUCCGGAAGCAUGAGCUGGCUGGCAGGGUUGAUGAUAAAAAUCCGUUAGAAUUAAAGAGUAGGAGGGAAAGGAGAAGGGCAAGGAAAAUUUGAGUAAGGGGAAGCUGUCCCCUCAGCUAGCUAGAUUAUGAGUUCCAUUUUUCUAUUUCCUGUAAUAUGAGCAUUGUAUGUUUGCAUAAGGUUGAAUGAGCAGAUUAUUGGCUCAUAAAUGAAAUCCUAAUAGCAGUGUCCUCUACUUCUAUAGUAUUUUUUCCAGCAUUUUAAUAUAUCUAUAAUUGAUUCAUAUUGACAUAUUCUUUACAUAUGAACCUGGGGUACAAAUGGUCUUUGAAAGAUUUGCCAAAAAAAGCUUCUCUGAUUGCUGCUAUAGAUUACAGUCUCCAAUUCCAUUUAUUUGUAGUUUUUUAAUAGUCAAUUAUGGUUUUGUUUAUAUAUGUGAAUUCUUUAGGGUACUUUGCUGAUUGCAUACAACCAGUAAUUAUAUGUUGCUAUAGUUGACAUGUUGCUCAACUCUACAAUUAUCAAAUGAAAACAUGUUAUUGCAAAUUAUUUAAGUGGAAGAGUACAAAACUUUGAGUGACAACACGACUUCGCGUUUCAAGUUGUUAUUAUUGUGAAGUGACGUGGUCUGCAACCCCUAUUUGAUGGACAAACAAUAUAAAAAUGUAUUUUAAUAAUUUGAUUGCUUUUUUAUAGGUUUUUGAAGUAUUAAGUUUCAUAUUUAACAAUAGGAAAAUAUACUUUGAUAAUUUCUUAAUUUUUUUUAAAUUUUCGAAGUAUAAAUUUAAAAGUAUGAUAAUCUAAUGGUGAUAGUAUGUAAUAUGGGGUUAAAAAUUAGUACUCUCACGGGGAGAAAUAUUUUUACAUGGAAAUACUUUCGAGUAAAAACUAAUAUAUAAUAUUUUUUCAUGUAAUUUAAGUGCAAUUUUCAUAAUUUUGAUACAUGUUUAAAAAUAUGAAGAGCAAUAUCUCGAUGCAAUGCAAAGGUAUAUGUUUGAUUAUUUAGAUUUUUUUUUUGAAAUUGAAUGUUUAGAUCACCACAACCGUAAUUGAGUAUUUAAAUAAAUGUUUUUGAAACUUCUAUCCCUCUUAAUAUGAUUGUAGUGUAAUUUUAAGUAUGCCAAUUUUUCUGUAAUCAAACUGUUGAUUGAUGUAAGGAUCAAUAACUAAUUCGCCGUGCAACGCACGGGUAAAAACGCUAGUAACAAUGAUACCCAUAAUUCAUCAAUUUUUGGGUUUUUCUUUUUCUCUUUUUUGUAUACUCUUCCUUCUCUUCACCCUCGUUCCCCAAACAACCACCAUAGCCAACACAACAGCCACCUUCAACCACCAUUCAAGCAGAGCGACCUUGUCAACACCGCCGACAACAUGCAGAGCGAUCCUCAUCAACACCGCCGACAAAGCGACCCCACGAUUGUCGGAGCACAUCCUCCUCCUCGUCAACACCACCGACAUCAAGCAGAGCGACCCUUGGCGAAUGUGUUUCCCUUUCUCCCUCUCUGAGCUUCGCGAUCCAGAUGAGGCAAAUGGGUUUUUAUAUUUUUUGGGUUUGGUUGUGUUGCAGGUGAAUGAAGAAAGAGAAUAAUAUAUCAUAUAAAUAUUAAUAUGUUCACAGCAUUGACAAUUGAAUUGGUUGCUCAACUAGUUAAAUUUAAAUGCUUGUUUUGUCACCCUAAGGUCAUGGGUUUGAAUCCUUUCCCCAUUUUUGCCAAGAUCCAAUUUUUUUUACUGACGUGGCCAUGUCAACAAAAACCGUCCAAAUUUUAACAGAAAUGGACGGAACGGUAGACGCUGCACUUUUUGAAAACAUGAGAGAUAGAAACUUCGACAAAAAUAGAGUGAGUGAGGGUAGAAUUUGCACAAACUUCAAACACCAGGGUCAAAAGUGUUUUUUAACCUUUAUUUAAUUAGAUAUUCUAGAGCGAUUUGAAUUUAAUUUAUUUUACAGAUGUCAGUCUUUUGCUUAGACUUUAGACUAGAUAAAUUAUCUUCUAAAUUAAGGAUUAUGAAAAUAACAUUUAGAGAUCAAGCAGAAGAUUUUCUACUCGAUAAUGGGCUUGGUCGAAUAGCGCUCUAGGGAUAGAAAAAUCAUUUUUUUUUCUUUUUCAACCUAUCUCUAUGCAAAACACUCGAUGUAUCACUCUCUCUUUGAGGAAGAAAAUUAUUUUUAUUUUUCUUGCUUCUAAGCACAAGGUAGGCUAGGGUUUUUCUUUUCCCUUGUUAAGUUUCUUCUAUAUCAUCCCCAUGUAUUUCUCCUUUUUUUUCUUUCUUUGUGGAAAAUUUGCUAAAAUAGGGUUGCUUCUGUUGCAAAGUUUCUUUGCACAUUUUUGGAGUUUUAUGAGUUCGUAUGUUUUCUUUGAAAAUGUUUUCAAUUAAAAAGGGGUUUGUAUCAAGUUUUGGAAAGUUAGGGGUUUAUGACGAUGUUUUGAAAAAAUAAGGAUUUAACCAUUUUUCUAUAUAGAGGCCGUAGCUUAUGCUUGUUUUUUGGGAGUGGGUUUUGUUUUGAAAACUCGUCCUAGGGUUAGAGAAUUCUAGUUUUUCAGUAGGGGUUGAAACUAGAAAAAUUUGAGAGUUUAAGGACCAUUUUUAUAAAUUAGUGAAAGUUUCGAGACUAAUUUCUAAUUCUGAAGUUCUAUAAAGGAGAUUUUUGCAAAUACUAACUAAAAUAUAAAUAAUCAAAGUUAAGAGUUUUAUAUGCAAGAUUAUUGGUUCGAGCUUAGUUACUUAUGUUGUGAAGGUUCAAUUAGCAAGGUUCGUGAGGAUCUAGGACAUGCUUUUGGGAAGGAAAACGGCCAAGGUGAGGAAACUUCGGUCUUAGAGACUGUUUUGCAUGUGACCUACCGUGCUACUUGUCUUGUUUGAGAUCAUGUUUUGCUACUUGUCCUGUCUUUUGCAUGAUGAAAACAUGAUAUGCUUAUGGUUAUGUUGAAUUGAUGAUUGUGGUCUAUGACAUGGUUACGUUGAGUUGAUUAAAUGAUGUUGUUACUUACACUAAAACAUGUGAAGUUCUGCUAUGAUACUUUAUUGGCUAUGCAAUGAUUCCUUAAUGAUGUUAUGCCUUUAUGAUGCUAUGUUGAUAUUUUUAUGUUGUGAUGCAUGCCUAACUUGAGAUGUACAUGUAAAUAUGAGAUGUGUUAUCAUUUUCGAUAAUUGUUGGUUUGCAUGGCAUUGUGCGUAAAGGAAAAUAGGGUUUGAAAUCGGGUAGGUUCAAGCCAAACUGUGUGACCACCGAUUCUUAAGAACCGGGUAGGUUCGACAAAUAUGUAGGUUCUUCACGACAAGAGAAGUUUCUAAAGAAAUGGCAUAUCAACAAUAGGUUACUAGUGAAGAGGCAAGUGACUUGGGUGUCGAUCCGAGUGAUUGUCCUACAUCCCAUGCGUGGUUGUUGGUGUAUAUCCGAAUUUUUGUAGAGAGUUUAUAUAUAGACUAACUAAUUUAGGGUCUAACAAUGACUUGACCUUUGAUGAUUGAGAACAAGCAUGAUUUGUGUGCCCUCCUCCUCCAACUUUGUCCUUGAUACUGAUAAUGAUGACAAAGUGUUGGAUAAAGCAAGUCUUUCACUUCUUCUUUGCCCACUGAAUCUUUGGGCAUUGAUGUUCUUUAAAGCUUGAAGGGACGAUAAAACUUAUGUACACCCCGGUAGAUGAUACAACUUGUGUUGAUAGUGUCUUCAGGAUUGUAAUGGUCAAUAUAUCUUCGGUUAUUAUACCCUUGUCUUUGUUAUCAUUAAAACACAAAAAAAGAGAUUGUGAGGAUUAAGGGCCUGUUUGGUUGUAGUUUUUGUUUUCAAUUUUUAAAACAAUUUUUAAAACAGUUUUCAGAAGAAGAAAACAGGUUGAAUAACUUGUUUUCCAACAUUUAGAAAACUGAUACCUGGAAACUAAAAACAGAAACUGAAAACAUCUUUUAGCUGUUUUGGUUUUUUAGUUUUAAAAACUGAAAAUGAGAACUGUUUUCAACCAAACAGAAACUGUUUUAAAAACUGAAAAUGAGAACUGUUUUCAACCAAACAGGUUUUCAGUUUUUAAAAACUGAAAACUGUUUUGAAAACAGUAAACAAACAGACUCUAAACGUUUGAACUUAACAAAUAAUUUUCAAAAAAUAAAAUAAAAUAAUCUAACAUGCCCAUUAUCACAAUUUUACGAGAGAGAUCUUAACUUUAUUCAAUGUAUCAAUAUGCUUGAUAUAAAGACAUCGUAUGGGAAACUUUAUCACCAGGAUGAGUGUUGUGAGAGAGAAGAGAAUAAGAGGAGGUGGGAGAGCACAAACCUAACAACUCAUAUUUUGAUAAACCCUAUUUUAAAAUAAUAAAUAAAUAAAGUCGGUAAUUUUUUUUUCCAAAAAUUCAAACACGUAUGUGCUUCUUGGUUCUCCUUUCCUCGAGCUAUUUUCCUUUUUCAAAAAAAAAAUUGUCAAGUAACCAAUUAUAUCAAAAGUUUAAGUUGUUGGGUAAGGAUCACCUUAAUGGUUUUAUAUUAUAUUCUAACACACCCCGUCACGCAAGAGCCAUUUGAGCUUGAAACAAGGAUAAAUGCACACAUCCACCUACCAUGUGCCUAAAUUUCACUUUUUAAUUAGAAAGUAAGGGGUGCAUGAAUCGAACUCUAGACCGCUAAAUCAUAAAAACUCUGAUACCAUGUCAAGUAAUCAAUUAUCCCAAAAGCUUAAGUUUUUCGGUUAGGGCCACUUCAAUUGUUUUAUGCUGUAUAGUAUAAGGCUGAUAGUAUUAGGCCUGAUAAAAUUUUAAUAAUAUAGAGCGUUUGGUGGCACAUUUAUAACUUAUCAUUUUGUUUAAAUUAAUAUAAACUUUUGUUUUGUGAAAUCUUGAAUAAUGAUAUAUUAUAUUAUAAAAAUGAAGAUAGUGUUAGUGGGUUGUAAAGAUAGCGGUGGUGGCUAAGGUGGUUGCGAUAAUGGCAGCGGCGGUGGUUGUGGUGGUGGCGGUAAAGGUGGCAGCGGUGAAUGGUGAUGCUGAGUGGUGGUUUGGGUGGCGACGGUAGUGUUGGAAGUGAUGGUGGUAGCAGUGGUGGAGGGAAGUGGUGGUGGCAAUGGUGGAGGGAUGUGAUAGCGGUAGUGGUUUAGGUGCUAGCAGCGGCGGUGGUGUUGUUGGAAGUGAUGGUGGUAGGGGUGGUAGUGGUGGUGGCGACAGCGGAGGGAGGUGGUUGUGGCUGUAGUGGUGUUGGGUCAUGGCGGUAUGUAGUGGUAGCAAUGAUUGCAAUGGCGGUUGAGGUGGUGGAGGCGGUGGUGGAAAGUGAUGGUUAUGAUGAUGAUAAUGGUGGUGGCAAUGGUGGGUGGUGGUGUUAGCGGUGGCAGUGGCGAUAACGAUGACGACAACGACAACGACGGUGGUGGCAGCGAAGGUGGUGGAGAGUGGUGGUAGCAAUGGUGGAGGGUGGUGUGGUGACGAUGGUGGAGGAUUGAGGUUGUGGCUUAUACAUCACACUCUUAGCAUGUCUUAUUCAUCAUCUAUAUGGUGGAUUAAAUAAUCCAUCAUUUUAAUGUAUACGAGGGGAUUGAUGUAUAAGCUUAUACAAUACAAUGUUAGCACCAAACAAUAGAUAAGUCUAUAAUGUAUUAGUAAAGCUUAUAUUAUCAUGUCUAAUACGGUGUGCCUUUCUUCCAUAUCAACAUAAAAAUAAAAAUAAAAAUAACCAUAAGGAACAUUCGCUUGGUCCAAUUGACCUUGCCUUCGAGCUGAUUUGGCGUUCCCAUGCUCCUUCUAGUGUCAAGGGUCUUGCAUGGCGAUGUUUGCUUGACCGUGUUCCUACUUGUGAAAAUCUGAUGAAGCGGGGGGUGACCUUGGACCAAGGAGCAUCGGUUUGCAAAUUAUGCGGGGUGAGCAUAGAAACAACUUUUCAUCUUUUUUUCUCCUGUUCUGUGGCAAUGGACUUGUGGCAUGCUUGUUAUAAAUGGUUUGGGGUUGAAACAGCUUUGCCAAUGAUUGCUAGAGAUCACCUGCUACAGUUCAGCUUUGGUGGUUCAGAGAAACAGCGUUGUGGUUUCUUGACAGUUUGGCUGGCAUGCGUUUGGUCUAUAUGGGUGGUCCGUAAUGGCAUUGUUUUCAGGGGUGUCGGGUUUUGCUUGCAAUCUGUGCUGGAAUUGGUGAACUUGAGAGCAUGGCAAUGGAACUCAGCGAAAAGCUUGUCAUGCGUGCAGCCAGAGGAGUGGGGCAGUUCUGUUUAAUUGUUUCUUAGCUGGCUACUGUUGUUGGUCUGUAGUUUGUAGCUUGUAAUCUUUUUGCAAUUUUUCCUUUUUUCUUGUAUUGGGUUUGGAGUAUCCCUUGUACUUCCCUUUCAAUACAAAAUUUGGCUUACCUAAAAAAAACCAAGCCCACUAUGGAAGAAUAUACUCCUCUAGUGCAUGGAAUACGAUACAGUUAUUAUUUAUAAACUAGUGUUUUUUUACCCGCGCGUUGCACGGGGAAUUUGUCUGUCGUAUUUGAUACGUAAAUCAAUACCUUGUUUUUUUAAAAUAUAAUAUACAGCAAAUGAAAUAAAAGAGACGUCGACAAAAAGUCUUAAAUUGAAACCCUUGUUGCAUAGAUUGAAAUUCGUCAAUUGCUUAACCAAAUAUCUAAUUAUGCAAAAUAUAUCAAGAGCUGGUUUACUGAUGCUAAUAAACAAUAGCUGAUUUAAUCUACCGUGAAAAAAAGAGAAAAGAUUGUUCAUGAGCGUGAUUAUGCGUGUUCAUUUUCACACAUUAAAAUAAACUAAUCUUGAUUCAAAUCAACAGGAACUCGUUUCACAUUCUUCAUGAACAUGAAGACAAUAGCACAAAUCAUGGAUAUAAGGAAUCACCAAUAAAUCAUUCAAAACACGUAUUAAUCUUUAAAAAAAUGUGAUAGUAGCACAAAUCAUGAUUGCUAAAGAUAAAUCAUAAAGUAUGACAUUAUUGUGUUUAUACCAAGUCAUCUAAUCCAAGUUUGAGCCAAUAUUGCAAGGUCCCUUCAGUUUGUACUAUUCUUUUAUGUCAUGUUUUCACAUUAAUAUUUACUCCUUAAUUAUUAUAAAACUAAGAAAAUUACUAAAAUUAAGUUCACAGUACUAUUGCAGGGUCCCUUGAGUUUGUACUAUUCUUUUACUAUUAAGAUCACACUAAAAUAUUUUUCAUUAAAAUUUUCAUCCCGCGCGGAGAGUUUUCUUACCUAUAAUUUUAUCAUAAGUAAAUAUAAACUAUAUAUUAUAAUCCUUGUACAAAAUAUUCCCAUAAUCAAAUUCUAAUCCUUUCAAUAAUAUAUUUGUUGUCGAAAAAGUAAAUGAUCCUGAAAUGUUUACAAAAGAAAAAUGAUAUUUAAUUGUACGCAUUAGUUAAAUAUUUUUUGCAUUUCCUUUAAGUGCGUAGACAACAAUAUAAAAGUAAAUAUAUUAAUAAAUUCCACUAAAAUUAAUUUAAGAACACCAAUAAAAAACACUUCAAUAUUCAAAAUCAUUAAAAUAGAAACAGAAAUACAGUUUGAUAUCAGAGCCUAAAAAAGCUUGAAAUCUUAUACGACCAAUCCUAAAACCACUUGAAACACAUUAAAUAUUCUCCUUGUUAUACAUUAUACUACCAAUCAUGUAAGUACCUAUAACUUGAAACGCAUCAAAUAUUCUCCUUGUUAUACAUGCCUCAUUUUCUUUCCCAUAUUUGUCAUAUAGCUUACUGUACCUGGCAAAAGAGAGAGCAUGAUAGCUUUAACAAAUCCCAGACAUGAAACAGAUCUGGUUCAACAGAUCUGGUGACAACCCAAUCAACAUCAUGUUUUCACACUUGAGUAAUAUAUUGCCGAUGUAAGCUCACAGCUCCAAUUACAAUCUACAAUAAAAGUCAUAUGGGUCACAGUUCAAUGUAAAGCAACUUAAAACUAAAACCUAGCAAAAAGAUCAAUUGCUUUAUAGUUGACAGUAUGGUGUGGGGGAAUUGCCGACUAUACUUGGAUUGAGUUUUUUGGUGUUGAUGGGAAAGGAAGGCGUGGGAAUCCCAUGCGAGAUUAGCUUCAAGGUUAUCCCUAAGGAGGAUAUGUGCAUUAAAAUCAUAGAGCAGAGCAGUAUAUAAUGUCAGUUCGACAACAUGAGAGAACUACUUCUUGAAUGUAUGAUUAACUUCUCAGUUCCCUCUGGUAUCCAUGACAAAAUCCAGAUUUCAAGAUGCAAUGUAGAGGUGCGUGGAGAAUGAAAAGAGAGAAACAUUAGAAUGUGUAAUUGUAGCAAGUGCAUUUGAUGCAUUAGGAUGAUCUCAUCCAACCAAACCAAAAACAUUUCUUCUAGUAUGCAAAGCAAAGGUAGUUGGCCUAAAAAUAAAUCAAAAUCAAUAGAGGUGAUUAUUUCUUCUAAUAUUUCUUCAGAUUUCAAUAUGCUUUCCUCAAACUUAAUGUGAAUAAAUAAAUCGAUAAGGCUCCCUCUCCUUCCUCCUAUCUUUUCUUUGGUUUUUAUUGUAGAACAAAACUCAACCAAGCCACUCAAGAAAAACAAAAAAAAUUAGGUGCAAAAUAUAUCAUAAAGUAUGAAAAGGGCAGAAAACCUUACAUGCUAUUUUCACACUUGAAAAAUGACCCUCUCCAAUCUGUUUACCAACAAAAAAGUGGAAAGAAUGUCUCACCAUCUCAAACAGUUUGCCACCUCUCCUCUGAAUCCAGUUAUCCUAUCCUCAACAUCUGUAGUGUAUUUACAUAAUGACGCUAAAAGCAACUUCCAUCAACUCCAAAAUAUUGAUGGAGAAGGUUUGACCAAACAUUGUCUAAUGUAAUUCUUUGCUCUAUUAUUUACAGAUAUGCAUCAAAUGCAGAAAAGGAUUUACAUGUUAUGCAAUAUUCUAAUUUAUCUAGCAAACACUACCUCAAUUAUAGAUCAGUUAUGUGCAUGCUUAAACAGGUAGCAAGCAUCAUGAAUCAAAAGUUAUCAUCUCACAAUAAACCCAAAAAACAUGAACAAUCUAACUACAAAGUUUGAUGAAGGCUUAUCUCUCUGAGCAGACAAUGUCAGGCUUUGUUAACAAUGUCAAAGCAGAGGUAGAUAUGUUGCUCUACUACUCAAAAAAAUUUAGAGAAGAGCCAGUGCUAUCAUGUCCUUACCUGAUCCAUAAUAACAAAGAGCUAGAGCAUGCUACCUUUCUCUUUUACUGAUACUCCCAGGGAGCAACGAUCCAUUGAAGAAGGAGCACUCACCAUUGAGAUAAAGUAGCUUCACGUGGAGCAGUAUUUUACUUUUUGUAUCUAAUCUAAAAUCUAAAGCAAACAGAUUACUAUAGAUUUGCUGGAAACUAAAUAAAAAGUAGAUUACUAAUUGAUAAAAUCUAAUAUAUUACAACAACAACAACAACAACAACUUAUAGAUUUUAGAUUAGAUUUGCUUAAGAUGUUAGAUAUUAGAAUAGAUUUAAUAUUCUAAACUUUUAAAUAUGAAUAUAUUAAACCAACAUAAAAGACCAAAACCAGUUACAAUGUUUGAGAAGAGAAAAAGAAACCUCUUCUAUUGCAGCUCGUGCAGCUUCUCCUUCCUUUUCUCUUCGUUGCCUCAAUUCUUCCUCAGCCCUCAUUUUUAAAUUAAUAACAAAUUAACUCACUAAUUAAAAACACUUAACUCACUAAUUAAAAACCUCAAAGAAACUAAACACACUUUCUUCAUUAGAUCUGGAAAAAUCUCUUCAUCUUCAUAUGCCCAUUCAUCCUUAAUCCUCCCCCUUCAUCCCUUUUCUCUGAUAACUCUAAAUUAAAUAAUAAAACCCCACCUUCAAACCCCAAUUUCAAUCUGUUCAUCUUCAAACCCCAUUUCAUCACAUGUUUUGGGUCAAUUUUUUCAACCAAAGGGAAAAGCUUCAAGUAUCCACCGUCUUCACCAUCAACACAGUCCUCCUCCAUCUUUUUCAUUCUGAUCCCAAAUGCUUUGAAGGUCACACCUUUCCUCUUCAACCCUUCAAAUCCCAACUCAAAUGCAUCAAAACCCAUCAAACCCUUCUAAGCCAUCGUUUCCCCGGAGCUCGCCUCACCAAAUCCAUAAACAACCAAAGGCCAGAUCGUCCCCACCGUGACUCUAACAGAUCAAGAACCAGGACGAAGAAAUCGAGCAGAUCGAGAGCCUGGUUCUCUAUUUUCUCUUCUCUGUUCGAUUUUCUGGGUUUUUGGUGAAGCUCGAUGGUCAUGGUUGUGGAACAAGGUGGCUUUAGUGAGAAAAGGGUGACUUUCUGACGGAGGAGGCGUUAUGUUGGUGAAGUCGCGUACUGGAGGGCUGGUGGUUUUGAUGUGCGUUUGUAAAAACGCAUAAACACAGAUCUGUAGCAAAACUUGCGUUCCAGCGAAAGCGAUAAAUUUGAGCGGUGGGUGUUGGGCGUUGGCGUUUGCACACAUCUGUUCGCAUACCUCUGUGUAGCUUUUCGUAUGAUUUGGGGUGACAAAUUCAUUAUUGUUCUGUUGAGAAUUGUAGGAGAGGGGCCUCUCUUCACGUGGGUUUAUUUUUCAUCUUGAUUCAGUCUGUUUCAAUUCAGUUCGCUUGAUUCAAUUCAGUUCUAGCACAUUUUCCAUGUAUCAUGCUUGAUUCAAUUAUGUUUCAAUUGGAUUUGGUUGAAGAAAAGGGAAAAAUUGGUUUUUGUUUCUUUUUGUUUUUGGAUUUCUUGAUGCUUCUUUAUUUGUUUCCAGAUUUUGUGUUGUUGAUUAAUUGGAGAUUAAUAUGAAGGAGGAUUAGAUAUUAAUGAUUUAAUAAAAUUAAGAUAAAUAAGUUAAUAUUUUUUUAUUUUUAGACUUUAAACAAUUUUUUUUUAAAAAAAUUAAUUAGUUUUUUUUAAUUUAAAUGAAAAAACAAAUUACACAUCAGCUUAUUAAUCCCAUGUGGCAAUCCACCGGAGCUCCGGCGUUGACCCUGAGCUCCGGAGGGAUGAAAACCAAACGUUUUGGCAAAGGUUAGGGACUAAAGCCCACCUUUGCUCCGGCGAGGGACAAAAACCAGAUAUUAUGUAAAGGUUAGGGACGAAAAACUUAUUUAAGCCUUCAUUUUAUAGCUAACCGUUUGAAAAAGCUCAUGGUUGGAGUUCUAUCUCAGGUGAGAGCCAACUCUUUUUUAAUAAGGUUAACAGCUAGGAUCUUAGAUAGAGAAAUGGAAUCUUAUGGAAUCACGCACAAGAAGAUAAUCCAUUUAGAAAGUAGGAAAACAUAGAAUUAGUUCAACAUACGUAAUCAAAAUGACAAUCAAUAAAAAAUCCAUAUUUGUAAUGAAGUUCUGAAAAGUAAAUCUUAAACAUGGAUACAGUUAAGAGAAAAAAAAAAUCUUGUAUUCUCCAAGCUGGAGAACACUAAUCAUCCUAUUUCUUAACUAUAAUUACCAUAAAAAUAUUUGUGAAUACAAAUUGUUAGUAGCUUGCAGUGAACAACCAGUUAAAGAUGAAACAAUGAAAAUUCACAUUGGUAUUGAGAGCCUAUUCUUUUACAGAAUUGGAAAGUAGAAACCUGUGUGUAGGUAAUCACAAGUUCACACUCACAUAGACGGACUCAAGGUUCGAAGUAGAGUAAUGGAUUGGUGAUGAUCUUGGUGAAGAUAAGAAAGGUUUGGGUGGUAUUUGCAAUGAUUCAAUGCUCCCUUCCAACAUAUCCACCACUUGGCUCAUUGCUGGAUGAGCAGAAGGGUCUGUUUGUAUGCACCACAAGCUUUACUAAAAUCAUCUUCCUUACCAUCUCAUUAUCAUUUUCAUUUUUAAUAAACCUCAAUGCAAGUUCUUGAUUUGUUUCUAGAGACUUGUAAAUCCAAUGUGGAAAAUAUAUUUCACUGGAACACUCAGCUUCCACAUUAAUGUUCUGUCUUCCUCCAACCAUAUCCAAAACCAUCAUUCCAAAACUAUAAACAUCUGAUUUAUGAGAUACACUGCCAAAACUUCUAGAAAUUACCUCAGGAGCAAUAUACCAUGCAGUUCCUCUUGCACCUAACAUGGAAACAAUACUCUCCUUUCUUGGGCAUAUUUUUGCAAGUCCAAAAUCUGAAAUCUUCGGACAGAAGUCUACAUCAAGCAAUAUAUUGUGAGGUUUGAUGUCAAAAUGUAAGAUUUGAGUGUUGCAACCUCUAUGCAAGUACUCUAAACCUCAAGCAGUACCAAUGGAAAUUUGAUGCAAAGUUUUGCAAUCCAAUUGACGAUCAACAAUUGCAGCAUUAUCUUCAUAUGUAAACUUCUCAAGAGAUCCAUUAGGCAUAAAUUCAUAAACUAGAGCUCUUUUUGAACCUUGAAAACAAAAUUCAAAGAGACCAACCACAUUAACAUGCGAAGUUUGGCUGAUACUGGCAACUUCAUUGAUGAAUUCUUCACCAUUUCUUUUCAACUUGUUUAAAAUCUUCACUGCAACAAGUCGUCCAUCAGGCAAUUUUCCUUUGUAUACACUUCCAUAACCUCCUUGGCCUAGUUUGCUUUUGAAGGAGCUGGUCAUUUCUCUUAUCUCAGAACAAGUGUACCUUUUGGUUAGAUGGAGUUCAUGCCUCUUCAAAAAUAUUUUAAUUUUCUUUUCUGUAAGAUUUUCAGCUUUCCAAAAGAAAAUGGAUGCAGGGGGUCUUGUAAAACAGCAUCUCAAUAUCAUAAGCAUCGCAAUCAUAGCAGCUGAAGAAGCUGGAUUAAAAUGAAUUAAAUUAAACAUGGUAACAAAUUACGUAUGAUAACUAAUCAAUACAGACAUGCACGCACCUUGAAAGAUACAACGAAACUUUCCUCUGUGAUCAAGUCUGCACCGUCCUCCACUUUCAUACAUGCACUUUCGACAAUCCUCAGACAAUGUUACUUCAAUGGUAACUUGAGAUUGUCUGAGUUUACCAAGAUUUGAUAACUUAGCUGGAAUCUGGUUAACAGUACAAGCAUUGGAAGGUGUGGUGAGGGAAUCACCAUAGAGUAGAUAAAAAUCUUCACACUUCGUGUAGUUAAGAAUUAAGAUGAUGUUCAUCAUCAACGAUAUCACUGCACACAUAAAGAUUCAUUGUUCCAUCAAUUUCCUUGUUUAAAGACAUGAUAGGAGAUGUCGGGGGAAGGGUAAUGGGGUACCAGCAUUCUGUGGGGCAAUCUCCAUGGCGUUCGUCGAGGUAAGAGAUGAGCUUUAGAAGUGCAGUGUGCUGGACAACAAUUGUUGAAGAUAGAAUGGAGGUCCCUAAGCUUAUACUUUCAAUUUGAAGCCAAGUUGCCUUCUUGUUUUCAUCAUAUCCCAAACGAACUUCAACUGUUGAACCUGGAUCAUCACAUCCGCUUAAGUACAAACCACAUUCUGUGUUCGUGUUGUUGGUGAAUGGGAAGGACAUCAACCCGAAGCGUUCACAGUCAAAGGAACUUGGGCACUCUUGUUUUGCAAACAUAAAAGGCAGACAGUAACAGAGAAUAACCAAACCAAGUACAAAUCCUGGAGCCAUUAUCUGAGUAAAAUAGUUGACAAUCAUGUUGGGUUGUUAGAUAUAUAAUGAGGAGGGGAGAAAAGAAGAAAAAGACUCAAAGGUGUGAAAUAAUAAAAUAUAAAAAAAUAGCAUGGGAAAAACAUUAACAUUCUUUAGCUAUUGCCAUCUCUGUUCUUUUCAACUUAUGCCUACUAAAGCAGAAAAGGAAAGGAUUGGUGACAUAACUUUUAGUUCACAUUUUGCAGUCACCCGACAGACACACUGAGUAAGUAAGAAAGAGAAGUAAAAUGUUAAUGUAUGAUAUAUGAUGGAUGUGAUAAAAAGAGAGUGAUAGAGAUUAAGGUUGGGUGUUUGGGAGGUGUUUGAUGUUUGAGUGUGCAAGUAUCAUUCUUCUUUUCAUUCCUAACUUCUUCUUUAUGAUAUAUUUAAAGCAUACUUUUUAGUCCUAUAAAACUAAAACCACAUGGUUUAGGAUAAGAAUCUGAUUAAACAUUUCUUGUAGGGACUAAAACAAAAAAUUAGAAAGAAAAAAGAGAGAACCUGAUGGUAUAUUUAGAAUUCCCUUUGGUGGGUCCCCAAUUGGCACAUUAGACCAAAAGUUCAAAUCCACACACAGGCAUGUUCCCACUCAGCCUCAGCGUCCUUGAAAGAAUAACAGGAUGAAAAGACCAAUAUGAGAAUAAAUUAUCUUGGAGGGAAUACUUUUUUCUCAUUCUAACCUCCUUUCAAUGAAUAAAUCCUACAGCUGUUUCAGUUGCUGGAGCACUAGGAGUUUUGAUAGUCUUGGCUUGCAUCAAACUAAGUUAUUUUUUUAGCCUGAUUGAGACUUUUCUGAAGUAAAUGGUCACCUUAAAGCCAACAUGAACAGCUAUUUAGAGGUUAAAAAAAAUGACCAGCUCCUUCAAAAACAAAUUACACCAAGGAAGAUAUGGUAUUGUACACAAAGGGAGGUAUAUAAUUACUCAUAAUUGAAGUCUGGAAGGCUUUACAAGAAUUCUCAUAUAUGAGUACCAGCCUAAUCCUUCAAGGCUUAAUCUAACAUUGAAUUGCACAACUAUAUAUGUACAAUAUUGCUAUUGGUGUUGCUGGAGGAUUAGAGUAUUUGCACAAGGGUUGCAGCACGAUAAUCGUGCAUUUUCACAUAAAACCUCACUAUAUAUGUACAAGAUCAUAUUUUGUGCUUUGCUGAAAUAUGUCCAUGAGAAAAAAAGUAGUCUAUCAAUGAUGGGUUCAAGGGGAACUGUAGUGUAUAUUACACGGUUGCACCUAAGGCGUUUUGCGAAAAAAUUGGUGGAGUGUCUCAUAAAUCAGUUUGUAUGCACCACAAACUCACAUUAGUGAAUUUUAUCAGCUGUCACCUCACAUGAUAAAGAUAAGUUGGAAAUCUUAACUAUCAGUGAACAAAGGAGAUGGCGGUGUCAAUUUUGCAGGUUAACAAUUGCAAAAUCUUGAAAAUAUUUGUUUCAUUUAGUACAAAAACUACAUAUCAUGAGAAAAAAAAAAUAUCCAAUUGGUAAUGAAGUUCUGUGUUCUGAUGUUAAUCUCAAACAAGUAUACAAUUAAGAGAAAAGAAAAAUCUUCCAUUCUCCAAGGCCUCCAGCACUGAUUUCCCUAAUUCUAAACUAUAAUGACCACAAAGCUUCGUGAAUAUAGCUUACACUGGAAUAUAAAAUAAGACAUUACCCCGCUAAAGUUGGAACAGUGAAAAUUCAAAUUGAGAUUCUGACAGAACCAGAAAAAUGUUAGAAAAUAACACAGCUGAAGAAGUAAAAUAAACCAGGAACGCAAUCAACAACACAAGAAUAUAACGUGGAAACUCCAAAACCGGAGAAAAAACCACAGCAGUUGUCAAAACCGACAACCAGAGAAUAAACACUAUGUGAAAAUUGUUACAACACAUAGACUUCACUCUCAACCACCCCAUGACCCCAGUACACCCACACUCUCCAAAGUAAAUAUUUGAACUACAUCUCACAAUGCUCUAAAACAAGAGCAUAAGAAAAAAAAGAAAACACAAAUAUAAACUUAAAGUGUUUUCAGGUGCUACAUCUUUGGUGUUUUGGUGUGUUGAAACAAGGAGCUUGAGAUCCCUAUAUAUAGUCUUGGACUCUCCCACCCCUCACUAAUCUAAGCGAUGUGGGACUUCUCCAAGAUGCAUAACUUGAUCUUUUUUCUCCUUCAUUAGCAAUGUGAGACUUACAUUGCAAUCAACCCCAACAAUCUCCACCUUGAUUGUAAUGACCUUCAGUCUUCAUUGUCUUCACCGACAAUCGUUGUCUUCACCGACAAACAUAAUUCUCAUUGUCUAUAUACCGACAAAUUGAAUUAUCAUACUCCACCAUAAAAGAGUAAACUACACUUGGAACUAAACCAUCCCAAGAAUUUUCUUCACUUGGAACUAAACCAUUCCAAGAAUUCCACAUGCCGAAACCUUGCUGAAAAUUUAUGGUGCAACUUCCAUGUUGGCUUACUCUGAAAGUUCAUCAGCCAUCGACAUAACCACGUACCUUGCAUCAACACCAACCAAUGCCCGCACGGUAUCACCACACACCUUGCAUCUAUAUCAACCAAUGCCCGUGUACCACCUGGACAAUUUCAUGCCCAAAACACCUUGUGCAACCAUGAUUGCAUAACUCCUCCAUCACAGCAUCAUCGCAGCUGCAGACCGACUGUAAACCGUGCACCAGGUUGGUUCCUAGCCAGAACCUUCCAAAACAGCACUUCACAAUGUCACACUUCUUCAGCACCUUCGCAAUACCAGACAAAGUGAUAUCCAUCGAACCGGAAGCUCUGAUACCACUGUUAGAAAAUAACACAGCUGAACAAGUAAAAUAAACCAGGAGCGCAAUCAACAACACAAGAAUAUAACGUGGAAACUCCAAAACCGGAGAAAAAACCACGGCAGUUGUCAAAACCGACAACCAGAGAAUAAACACUAUGUGAAAAUUGUUACAACACAUAGACUUCACUCUCAACCACCCCAUGACCCCAGUACACCCACACUCUCCAAAGUAAAUAUUUGAACUACAUCUCACAAUGCUCUAAAACAAGAGCAUAAGAGAAAAAAGAAAACACAAAUAUACUUAAAGUGUUUUCAGGUGCUACAUCUUUAGUGUUUUGGUGUGUUGAAACAAGGAGCUUGAGAUCCCUAUAUAUAGUCUUGGACUCUCCCACCCCUCACUAAUCUAAGCGAUGUGGGACUUCUCCAAGAUGCAUAACUUGAUCUUUUUUCUCCUUCAUUAGCAAUGUGGGACUUACAUUGCAAUCAACCCCAACAAAAAAUUACCCUAGAUUACAGAACACAAUAGCAGAACUUUGAGGACCUGUCAAGCCUCCCAAUGCCGAAAGGCAGUAAACUACUGGACACCCAUCCCUUUCGAUCUUUCUUACUAUUUAUAGGCAACAUGCCUCACACACUAAAUCACUAACUAAAUACUUCACAAACACUACAUCUAAAAACAGUCAAGUCAGGAACUAUGCGGGAAAAUAUGAGAAAUUAAAGUGAGGUUAUUCUAAGGUUAUAGUAUAGCAAAAAUUGUAGUAUCUUGAUAGGAUCCUUUCACUUUGUAUUCGUAAUGGACUUGUGAAAAAUAUAUAUAUCUCUAACCUGGACACGCUUAGUUCAAAAAGAAAAAUGCUAUGUUCUCUAAGAUGGAGAUCACUGACAGUCUUAACUACAAUGACCAUAAAUAUUUGUGAAUAUAUAAAAAUACAAACUGUUAAUAGUUGACAGGAACAUGCACAUGAUCAGCUAAAGUUGAAACAAUGAAAACUCAGAUUAAUAUUGCGAAUAUUUUAUUACAGAAUUGGAAAAUAGAAACAUGUGCUUUGGUCUAGGUAAUCAUAGGUUUACAGUGAUACUGGCUGACUCAAGGUUUGAAGUUGAGUAAUGAGAUGGUGAUGUUCUUGGUGAGGAUGAGAAAGGUUUCGUUGGUAUUUGCAACGAUUCGAGACUUCCUUCUAACAUAUCCACCACUUGACUCAUUGCUGAACGAUCAGAAGGAUCUGUUUGUAUGCACCACAAGCUUACCAAAAUCAUCUUCCUUGCCAUCUCACUAUCAUUUGCAUUUUUAAUACACUGCAGAACAAGCUCUUGAUCUUUUUCCAGACGCUUGUAAAUCCAAUAUGGAAAAUAUAUUUCACUGUAACACUCAACUUCCACAUUGAUAUUCUUUCUUCCUCCAACCAUUUCUAAAAUCAUCAUCCCAAAACUAUAAACAUCUGACUUGUGAGACACCACUCCAAAAUUUCUUGAAAACACCUCUGGAGCAAUAAACCAUGGAUUGGUGAUGCUCUUAGCGAAGAAAAGAAAGGUUUUGGUGGCAUUUGCAACGAUUCAAUGCUCCCUUCCAACAUAUCCACCACUUAGCUCAUUGCUGGACGAGCAGAAGGGUCUGCUUGUAUGCACCACAAGCUUACCAAGAUCAUCUUCCUUACGGUCUCAUUAUCAUUAUCAUUUUUUAUACACCUCAAUGCAAGUUCUUGAUUUUUUUCUAGAGACUUGUAAAUCCAAUGUGGAAAAUAUAUUUCACUAGAACAUUCAACUUCCACAUUAAUAUUUUGUCUUCCUCCAACCAUAUCCAAAACCAUCAUUCCAAAACUGUAAACAUCUGACUUAUGAGAUACACUGCCAAAACUUCUAGAAAUUACCUCAGGAGCAAUAUACCCUGCAGUUCCUCUUGCACCUAACAUGGAAACAAUACUCUCCUUUCUUGGGCAUAUUUUUGCAAGUCCAAAAUCUGAAAUCUUUGGACAGAAGUCUACAUCAAGCAAUAUAUUGUGAGGUUUGAUGUCAAAAUGUAAGAUUUGAGUGUUGCAACCUCUAUGCAAGUACUUUAAACCUCGAGCAGUACCAAUGGAAAUUUGAUGCAAAGUUUUGCAAUCCAAUUGACGAUCAACAAUUGCAGCAUUAUCUUCAUAUGUAAACUUCUCAAGAGAUCCAUUAGGCAUAAAUUCAUAAACUAGAGCUCUUUUUGAACCUUGAAAACAAAAUUCAAAGAGACCAACCACAUUAACAUGCGAAGUUUGGCUGAUACUGGCAACUUCAUUGAUGAAUUCUUCACCAUUUCUUUUCAACUUGUUUAAAAUCUUCACUGCAACAAGUCGUCCAUCAGGCAAUUUUCCUUUGUAUACACUUCCAUAACCUCCUUGGCCUAGUUUGCUUUUGAAGGAGCUGGUCAUUUCUCUUAUCUCAGAACAAGUGUCUUAAGCAUGAGUUCUUAGUUCUUACUACUAUUCAUUUGGUCCCACCAACCACAUUAUUUAUACUUUUUAUUUUCAUAAAGUAAUAAAACAAAACUCAUAAAGUAAUAAAGUAAUUUGGAUGAGAGAGAAAUAAUUAAUGUUUUAAGCUAAAAACUCAAAAAGCAAAACUCCUUCUAUAAGAACUGAGUUCUUAUUUUUAAGAACUAAGAAGUCCAUGUCAGCACCUCCAAUGGUAAAGUUCUUAGUUCUUAGUUCUUAACUCCAAAGUAAGAAUUAAGAACUUUGUAUUGGAGAUGCUCUUCUAGAUCAUGGGUUAUGGAGUCAGCAGCUAGAAACUCUCAGCUUCUGAUUUUUAUUUUUUGUUCCGGAUGAGGUUCUGCUUUUGGUUUCAUUUUCUUCUAAUUAAGGAAAGCAAGGAACUCUCAUUCAUUUAUGUGACACCAUAUAACUAUAUAUAGGUGUGGAGGUUAUUAUGAUUCUGGUGCACUCAAAAUUUUCCAAUAGUUCUGCAGAAGCUGACAUAUCUCGUUAUAAGGCACCCUCAAAUUAGACGUGUAGACACUGCCUGCGCAUACACGUUUGACGUUCUAUAUUUUGUGGUGGUAUGUUAUAUUAUACUAGAUCAAUUUAUAAAAGAACUUGGCACAAGUAAAUCAGUUAGAUAAAUCCAUUUGGGAAUUUUUCAUGCAUUUUGUUUUGAGAUAAUUUCAAAUUCAUUCUCUUUUGCAUGUAAUUUUGUUUACUGGGGUGCUUUUUUUAAUUUCCCUACACUGCUGAACUUUGGCCUGAAAAAAACUCCAGUCCAUAUCUUAGUUCAUAAAUGGCGCUGACUGACAGAUCUCUUAGUUCAUAUCUUUGUUCAUAUAUGUCAACGGUCAACCCCAUUGUUCCUCGGUUCCUUCUCUCCAAUCUCUGAAUCCCUUAUUCUCAUAGGCGGAUGUACCGCCUGGCCAUCCUGGGCCUGUGCCCAGGCUCUGGCCAAAAAAAAAAAUUUUUCUUUGGUCCAGAUCAUAAUUUAGGUCCAAAAAAAAAAUAAAAAAGGGAAAAUGUAAAGGUAAGGGAAAAAUUCAGGGACUACUUCAUAAAUGUGCCCAGGCUUCCCAAAAUUUCUGGUUCCGCCACUGCUUAUUCUAGUAAAUGGAUACAGUCAUAUCUAGAAUACAAUCAUGCAAUUAGUUUCUGCUUGACUGCAGAGUCCUCAUGUUGAGUAUAUAAUAAUAAUUCCAAGGCUUCUACAGGUAGUAACACUACAACAUUUUGGUCCUACGGCAACGCCUUGCCUUGCUACGGACGGAAAAGCGUUGCCGUAGAUGACAUUUGUACACGGUUUUCAUAUCUGUUCUGUUUGUGCCUAAAAAAUUUUCCAGUUCACAUCGAGAACGCUUUUUUCACAUUUGUUUUAUGAAAACACUUCAAAUGUUGUUGCUAAAGAUCAUUACUAAAUAAAAAUGAAAAACUUCGAUCAUCUGAAAAAUAAAAACCAAAAGAAAUGGGUAGGUUCAACAAAAAGCGAAAAUAUUCUCAAUUUCUCAUCUCGUGUUCAUGGCUGCGUCGUUCCCAUCGCCGAAGCCCAUCCCCGCCGCUCAUCGGUCAUCGAUCUUCACCGCCGUUUCUGAGCCACCGCGACACCACCAACCCUCGCCGGUGUUGAAGGCGAACCCAAACUCCGACUGGCAACGGUGAGAGCGACUGGAGACGGUGGCCACAAAAUCGACGCUGGUCAUGACCUAAUCGAUGCACUCACGCAUCAAAUCGAGAAGCUCCAUUCUUCUUCUCAAAGCUCCAUAAUCGCUGCCUCUGCGAUGAUGAAAUCGGAAGGAUUCGGUUUCAAAGAACUUUGGUUUCCGGAAGAAGAGUGAUUGAUUCGUUUUGUGUCGACUUAAUUUUGAUUUUGUUCAUUUUCAGGUUGUUUUGUAUGGAGAUCUCUCUCGUGCCCUUGUGAUCCUCCUUCCUCUACUCUUCAUCUAUGGUGGUGUCUGCUUCUACCUCCCUGGCUUAGUGCCGCAAGAUUUCCAGAAGGUACACCUUCAUUUCCAUUUCGAUUUUCUAGGUUUUCUAUUCUUUGAAGUUGAUUCUACCAACUGUUUGAUGAAAUGCCAAGCAUUUAUGCAGCAUUUAGUUGGUUGUUCUUUCCUUCACAUUUAUCUUAGUUGAAAAACUACCAUAAAACUACAUGCUAACCAAAACUGGACUUGGAUUAGAUUAGAUUAGACUGGAAUUCAUUUUCAGGUGUCAAUGAAUCCACCUAUUGUAUGAUAAUCUUUUGAUCUAUGUAGUCAUUACUGUUACCCCAAUGCCGAAGUGAAUAGAGCAACUCAACACAGUGAAGCCUUAUAUUACAUUGAUGUAUUACAAUAUAUUAUAGCUCCAUAUAAUUCACAUUUAGAGAAAAUAUGCUAGAUAGUUAGGAAUGUAAAAACAUGUGAGCUGUAAGAAGAUGAUGCUUUAGGGGUUGGUUCUGUUAUUGGUGUUGUAGACUUGGUUGUUGGUACAAUCAGAUAAGAUAUAUAUGUAACUGAUGCUCAUUCUCUUAUUAGAUGCUAAAUAUGCUAGGACUCUUAUAAGUGAAAUUCCAAAUAAAAGUUCGUAUAAGAAAGAGAUAGAUUUUAGGUUUGAAUUUAUCAUUGCUUGAACAUAGAUUAUAGAAGAAAUGAACAUAGUCUUUAUGUUAUUCGAAGUUUUGAACUAGCAUAUUUGUGUUAGUUUAUAUGCUCGUGUUUACCUUCUUAGGUUAUGUGAGGGUGGAGAAAUGCUGGAUCAGAUAUUGGCCUAGUAAGUAUUGGUUGAUUUUGGAUGUGAUUGUUAUUUUCCUUGGUCUAAAUCUGGUCUCCUUGGUACCCUUGAUUCAUGUCAUUACAAAAAAAAUGAAAAAAAUUCGAUUUCUCAGUCGCAUGCUUUGCUUCAAUUUCAAUUUCAGAUUUAAGUUUGUCCAAAUUUUAUUCAUGAGCAAAAUGACUUUCUGUUUUUUCAUGAUUUUAAUUUCAGCUUGGUUCAAGAAUUAUUCGACUGCGGUCAAUAUACCACCAGUUCUCAUCUCAAUUCCUACCAAUCCACAAUCAUAUAAUACUUCAAAUAUUCCAAAUAAAUAGUAUGAGUUUAAUCAGGUGCUCCAAGAGAGUCUUUGGUACACAGUGCAUGGCAUAUUUUAACAAAGAUUAAACAAAAAAAUUACAUAGAUGAUUGAGUAUUGCAUAUAGAUGGUAUGUGCAGUUAAUGUGAUGUUCAUCACUACAAAACUAAUCUUUUGAGUUUCAAGUAGUAGUAGCAAAGUGCAGUGCUAAGUGCUAACCCUAAAAACCUAUAUAUAAAAAAUGGGGUGAAAAGAUUUACAUUUUUGGCUGCAGCACUGAAAGCUUCUCGAUGUGGGAUCUGAGGAUUUGCUGCUUUGAUCCGCUGUAUCUCCCCUCUGACAAUCACAUCAAAUCAACCAUAUAUGUUAUACGUGUCAUAGUACUAAGAAAGUAAAUAGAGUAAGAGAAAUAGAGAAUGUAAUAGUGCAAUCUGUGUUGUUGUAGUGAAAAAAAAACAAAGACAAAAAAUCCACAUCUCUCCAGAAAUCUGAACUCACUUCAUGAAACGAUUGUAAGCAGAUGGGAGACGGUGCUUUUUCUUAGGUGUUGCAAAAAGAAUAAUCAAUUUACAAAUAAGGACACACAUGAAUAAUGUUGGGAACUGAGAAAGAAAAUCAUUUGUAGAGGGAGUUCUGAGUAAUCAAUAAUACAAAGUUUUAAGGUAAAAAACUCCUCUCAGUGCAUUUGGUGAACUCACCACAUCUCUUGCAAUGGAAGAAGUUAUCCUUGCCUCCAAUUCUGAAAAAGCAAUUAUAUAGAGAAGAUGAUGAUCAAAUUCUGUUAAAGCAAUGUGGAGUAGGAAAUAUAACAAUUAGAAAACUGAUUGAAGAUCUUUACCUGCAGAUGCCAUAUUCAUCACAGUGGUAUUGGUUUUUUGAAAUCUGAAAGAUUGAACAACUUCUUAAUAGAAUAUUCCAAAAUAUGCCACUCUCAUAAAUCAUAAUUGAUUUUGACUUCGAAAUCAAUUGUAAGAGAAUUUACAAACAUCCACGAAGAAGGAAACAUAACUCAAUUUCUAUCUCGCGAGAGAACUUACAUCAUCAUCAUCAAAUAAUUUGCAUGUAGCACAAAAGUACUUGCCCAUGCAUACUCCACAGUUUAUGCAGUACUGCUGAACCUGCAGGUAGCAUGAGAAACAAUCAACACAUCAGAAAAUGCAAGUAAUAUAUUACCAUUUUUAUUAAUCAGCAAUAAAAUGUCACAUAAUGAUUAUAUGGUUAAGUCUUAAGAAAGCAGAAACACAUGACAUAAUCGUUGUCUCUGCUGCUGCUACUGUCAUGGUCAUGGCCAUGCUCGUGCUUCUUCUUCUUGUCGUGCAACCUGCAUAUAGCAAAGGAAGCUUGUAAGUAUUUCUUGUAGUCAGCUCAAAGAAUUAGAAAGAAAGGAAGAGAGAAUCAUGGACAAACUAACAAAACACAGUGCAUUGAGCUCUGCAAUAAAUAAAAAAGAAACAAAAGAAGCAUUUAAGAAUUAAGAUCAUAACAAUAACAUAAUAAACACCUAAAACUAUGAAAGGAACAGAGCUGCCACUCACAAUUUUCAAGGAGGUUCUAAGUUCCCAAGCACGGGCAGAGGCUGAACCAACUCCUCCCAUGUCAGGGUAUUGAACCCCUACUGCCACAGUGUUCUCAGGAUUCUCUAUUGGUCUGAUUCCUCUUGAACUUGAACCUGGUCCAGAUCUUGAUGAUUGCUUGGAAGAGUCAGAAAACUUCAGCACCAUGUCCUUCAAUUUCAUAUGCAGAAAGAAAGAAAUAAUUAACACCAUUUGCAUGUAUCUAUCUAGGGUACAUUACAAUGAAGAUGUUCUUUACUAAUGCAUACAGGGAUGAUAUGAAGUACGAUUUACAUCAAUCAAUCAAUUAAACAGAUUGUAUUUGCAUCUCAUGACAAUGUAAAAAUGUGUCGGAAAACUCAUAGAACCAAACAGAUGUGCCUGAAGUUUAUGUGUAUGCAGAACAGAAAAUGCACUCAGUUAAGAAAAUUCGUUCAGGAAUUUCAUCGAACAUGUAGUAUGCACCGAUGAUAUGAUAAAAGUGUGGAGAAAAUUCAUUCACUUAUGUCAUCGAUCAUGUUAUAUGCUUGGAAACAGCAAUGAAAAUGUGCAAAUCAAAGCCAAACAGGGAAGGAAUUGCAAUGAAGCAGCAUGAAGUAAAAAGGAGAGAGGGAUAGAGUGACUUAGAGAAAGAAAGAACGUGAGUGGUCUGAUGCGCUUCUCAGAAUCAGUUCUGGUUCUCUCCUUGACGUUGAGCUUCCUGACGGUGUGACCUGCUACAGCGGACCAGUAACACCACGACGAUCUGAGCGAUGAAUAUUGCGAGCUCGUCUCGCCAUUUCCUCACCCGACGCCAAAACACGCAGCCACUCCCGCUCCUUUCCUGUCUUCAUAUCCUCUUCCCUUGUGGUGUCUUCACUCCUUUCAUCCUUACUCUCUCAAGUCGAAGAAAAGUGAACCUUGACAUCAAGAAUGGCCGAAACAGAGUGAGUGAAUGAGUUUCAGACUAACAGUGGAAGCAGAAAAAGCAAUAACAUGAUAAGAGGACUAUCUCGAGUUAGGGUUUGGGCGCAAAUGAGCGAUGAAUUGCGGAAACAAAGUUAGAGGAGGAAGAAGAAGAUUUCAUAUUAGAAUCCGAAAACGCAUCAUCUCUGCUUCUCGGUUUUCUCCACCGUGCACAACCCUAAGUCAGGUUCGUUGUGGGAGAGGAGCCGCUCAAUUGAAAGCGGGGAAUAGUUUAGGUUUAGGUGAAAGGAGAAAUCAAGGCACAUGUGGCAAGUAGGAGUAAGGAGGAAGAGCCUAGCUUUGACACGUGUCAAAAAUCAAGUAAGAAUUAAUCUGGGAGCGACACGUCAUUAACUUGGCAUGUGGGAGCGACACGUCAUCAAAUCAACCUUAGAGAAGUUCUUCUUUUCUAAUAUAUAUUGAUAUUGAUUUUAUCAACAGAGAAAUGGAUUGGGUUUGUUUGAGUUGAUUACGAAGGUGAAGGGAUGCCUCCAACUCCAAACCAGAGAGCCCUUGUUUGUUUGCGACAGAUCAUAGAUAUGGAGGGGUGGAAAUGGUAGGAAGGAGAUGUUGUAGGCAUGGAGAGGGUGCCACCGUUGACAAGGGGAAAAACAAAUGUUUUUGUCAAUGACACGUUUUUUCUCCUUCUGUAAUUUGAUUAAAAUUUAUUUUUCUUUUAACUAUGUCUAAGAAUUUUAUUGAUUAUGCCUCAAUUAAAAGGUGUUAGGGUUUAUUUUAUAAACUAAAAUUCUAUUGAAUAAAAAAUACAAAGAGGACUUCAACUGAAUACAUAAAAGAGCCAGAAAAGAGGCACACGAACAAAGAUUAUAGUAGAACCAACUAAUAUUCAAAACCUGGGAAACUAUACUAGAGCUAGUUGGUUCCAAUCCAACAGAGUAGGGAUGGUAACGGGUAGGAUCGGGCACGGGUUUUACAAUUACCAAACUCAAACCCAAACACAAACCCUUUUGGGCGAUAAAAUGAAAUUCAUGUCCAAACUCAUUGAGUUUUUGAUUUACCCGAAACCCAACCCAAACUCAUUACUUACGUGAAAUAGCAACCCGUCCCAGAACCUGAUCCAGAACCUACUUUCAUAAAAAAAAAAAGUGAAAUUCGUAGAAAGAAAAAAAAAACAAAUACUAUUCAUCAUCCUCAUCCAUCACCAAAGUGAGACAACAAUAGUUUAGAGUUUAUUUCUCAAACAUAUAAAAGUACAAUUAAUCAUCAAAUACUAAGAACAAAGUUUAUAAAUAUAUAUGUAUGAUGGGUUUUUUGUAAUUUUAUGUUUCGGAUAUCUUUGGGUUUGGGUUCGGGCGGGUAUGGGCACGGAUUUAACUAAUACCAAACUCAAACCCAUAAACUGCUAUAGUAACGGGCAAAACUCAAAUCCAGUCAACUCGGGUUUUGUCCUUCAAAUCGGAUCGGGUUCAUGCGGGUACCCAUGAAUUUGGGCAAAAGUGUCAUCCCUACAACAGAGUGAUGGGUGGCAACAAUCUGCACAAUUUGGAAUCAAUGAAACAAAGUGGUAUUUAGAGACUCACAAACUGUUUAUUCAAUUAGUUGUUUUGGUUGGAACCGCCAGGACUGGUUGAGUCUUUUCUAAGGUAAGUCCAAAUGUUUCAUCCAUAUCCAUAUCCUCUGGUUUGAUUCCACCUUCAAGCUCCCAAUUGAAGCAAUUGAUAAGCAAACCCAACAUCAAGAACAACAGUCUUAUUGCCAAUGGUAAGCCAGGACAUAUUCUUCUCCCAGCGCCAAAUGGUGUCAACUCAAAACUUCUACCCUUAAAGUCAAUUUCUGACCCCAAGAAUCUCUCUGGUGAAAACAAAUUUGGAUUAUCCCAUAAAUUUGGAUCUCUCCCAUUAGCCCAUACAUUAACCAGAACUUGUGAACCUUUCGGGAUCGUAUAACCGUGCAUAUCUAAAUCUACUUCGGCUUGUCGAGGGAGUAAAAGUGGGACUGCUGGGUGCAACCGAAAAAUCUCUUUAACAAUUGCUUGCAAGUAAGGGAGUCUCUCAAUGUGUGAUUCUUCAACUAGCUUGCCUUUGCCAAUAGUUUUCUCCAACUCUGAUUUUGCUUUUGACAUAACUUCUGGGUUACGUAGUAACUCGGCCAUUGUCCAUUCUACCGUAGAUGUAACUGUGUCGGUUCCUGCCACAAAUAGGUCCUAACAAAAGCACAUUAAUUAGAAAGUGAGAUGCUUCACAAUCUACCAUAAAUCUUGCUCAAUUCUAAGUUUUUUUCAUGACUUUUUACUGCUAUCAAUUUUUUUUUUGAAAUGUACAACUAUCAAAUUAGAAGGUUCUAAUACAAUAUCAAAAUUUGUAAAGUGUAACCAUCAAUCCAUCAUAAAGUUUGGACCACAAAUUAUUAAAAAUUGUGACUCUGUCGUUCAUUUUAUUUUUACAGCAGAAAAUCAUCAUAUUAAUUGAAAAUAAUAUAUCUCGCCAUAGCGAGGAGGACGAACAAAGAAACUAUAACUCUCUGCAGACACAUAGGUCUUCUCUCUACUGAUACAUUGGCCUUCCACUCUAUUACAUCUGAAUUCUGAAAAAUAUGUCUCUUAUUGAUGGGUAUAUAUCUAAAUAUACUCAAAAAAAAAAAAUACUUAACUAGUAUUGAUCCCGCGUCACACACAGAUGAAAUAAGAGUACAUUAUCAGCCUACAUUAGAUCUUUUUAUAUUUUCUCUCUUGAUUUUCUUUUUAAAACACGUAUAUCACAUAUUAAAGUUUUUUUUUUUCUAAUCCUAGCUAGGAACAUUUUAAUUCCCUUUUUUCCUAAUUUGUUAUGUUUUGAAUCAAUAUAACAAAACCAUUUUAAUCUUCUGAAUAUAUAUAAGAAAACAUAAAAGACAAAACUUUUGAGUUAAUUUCCAAAUCAAUCCUUUAAAAAAUUUGAUAUUAAUUAUUUUAUGGCAUAUUUGAUAUCAUUUUUAACAUAAGAUAUUACAUUUAAUUUUUUUAAUAUAAAAAAUAACUAUAAUCAUUAUAAAAAAAGAUUUUUUUUUCUGGAAAUGCAAAAAAAAAAGAUUUUGUUACCAUACAUCUUAAUGGUAGAAAAUUCACAAUUGACUUUAAUUAAUUAAUCUAAUGUGCAUUUAAAACCAUUAAAUGACAAAUUAAUAUAGUAGUUAUUUUUUAAAAAAGUCACAAUUAAAUUUUGUUAAUUAUUCUAAUGUCAUUAAUAACUAUUAAAUGAAAUAUUAAUACAUUAAUUAUUUUAAAAACAUUAAAUUAUUUAAUAUUUAAAUUACUAAAAAAUCAGAAAAUAUAAAUAUGACAUCAUCUGCCUACUAAUUAAUUAUAGUACGGGAAAGAAGCUUAUGAAGAAAGACAUAAAAUGAGGGGGUGGCACUUGUUAGAGUUGUCACUUUUAAUUUGGUUUAGAAAUAGUAUACAACUGGUGUUUUUUCUCGUGCGUGGCACGGGGAAUAUGUAUAUUAUAUUUGAUACAUCAAUUAAUCAUAAAUGUGAUUAUCCGAGUUCAUUUUCAGUUAUUUUUCUUAAAAUUCUAAGUUAUUUAUGUUUUAAUUUUUUUAAAAUUGUUCCCAAUAUGUGUUUAGGGAACACGUUCAACAGACUGGUGCAGUAUCUUAGAUAAUUAGGGAAAACUUUUUAUAAUUUUAAUGGAUUAUAAUCUCAGCACUACAUAUAUUUAUUUUUAUAUUGUAGAUCAUGAGAAAAAAUAAAAGGAGAAAUCAGGAGAUUCAGUAAAUAUGCAGUAAAUUAGGCUUGAGACUCUUCCUAAUUUAAAGAGAUAAUGUAAACGGUUUCAAGAUUUGUUUUGGAAAUAAAUUUAGUAAGGAGUAAUCAAGGUAAAUCUUACAUAAUUAGGGCAAAACUUUUAAAAUUCGAUUUUAAGAUAAAAUAACACAACAGAAGAGAAGUUAUCUAAUGAAAUGACAUGUGAAAUUUUUUUAUGAGAAUGACACGUGGAAUUUUUUUUAUGAGAAUGACACGCGCGAUACUAAUUCAGCUUGAUAGAAGUUCUUCUUUUCUAAUAUAUAUUGAUUGAUUGAUUAUAGGAUUUGAUAUGGAGGAUAUACUUAAUUUGACUAUGAUGAAAAUAUAUAAUAUUUUUUUGUAAGAAAAAUAGAUUUAAAUCUCAUAAAUCUAAUCGUGGAAACCGGAAAGAUGUAAUAAUCAAUUGUUCACACAUUUACUUCGUGACUCUCUUUCUCCCUUUACAUAUCACUUAUCAUAUCAUAUCAUAUCAUUCGUUUCUCUUUCAUUCUUAUCCAUCUCUAAAAAAUGUGGGUGUAAAGGUGUGAAUUAUAAAAACAUUUAUGAUAUUUGAAAACAAUAAAAAGUGAACAGUCAAAGAGUAUAAAUAGGUGGAGGAAGAGAGAGAUAGGAAGAAAUUAGAGAAAAUAUAAAUUGUGAUAAAUGAUUUGAUAGAGAAAAUAAAAUAAAUAAAGGUGUGUAUAAAUCAUAACUCAUGUUUGCAGGUAAAAUGUCAUUAAUAGAAAAUCCAACCAUGCUGUAAAAUAAAAGGGUUGUUAAAAGGAAAUUAAGCAUACCACUGAUAAACGCUCAAUCUUAUCUUUGUACAUCUCUGAACCGUUAUGUUGAGCAUUGUCGAGCAUGGCAUCCAACAUGUCAUUUUUGGUGUUGUAACCACUCUCUUUCCUCUGCUUCAACCUUUCCUCCACCAAUCCCUUGAAAAUUUUCAUCAACCUCUCAAAGUAACUCCCUGUGCGCCUCCUUAUCCCAUGAGGAUCAACCACCUUCAACACCGGAAAACAAUCAGCCAAGUUGGGCCUCCCAACCUCCUUCAUGAUACUCACAAUCACCUCCUUAAACUCCCCAGCUUUAUCCGCAGAGCGAAUCAAAUCCACUGAGUAAAUCGUGUUUGAAAGCAAGUUUAUGGUGGUCUUGAAAGCCAGCCUUCCAACAUUAACGGCCUCACCUUUCAACAUGCUUUUCUUGAUGUCAUUGAAGAGCUCUAAAAUCUUGUCGCAUCUUAAUUGUUCAUUAGCAUUGAGAUUCUUGUUGGAGAAUAAUAGAUUGUUGCAGAUUUUCCGGAGGUCUCUCCAACGGUGCGAGACGGGGAUGAAGGGUAAGCUGUAACGGUCUUGGUUAUAGCCUUUCAUGGCAUCGGGGAUCUUUCUGUUGGAUAAGAAAUUGUCGUGGAUUUGGAGCGUUGAUUUGGCAGUUUCGGAGGAGGACAUGACUAUGGUAGUGAUUUGGCCAAGUUUGAGGGUCAUGAUGGGGCCAUGGGUUUUGGAGAGAGUGGCCAAGGUUUGAUGGGGUUUGUGGCCAAGUUGGAAGAGGUUCCCAACUAUGGGAAGACCCUUUGGUCCUGGGGGAAGUGGAAGCUUCUUCUUCUUGUGGUUUGGUUUCAAGAUUGUAUUGGCAAGAAACAGUAUAAAGGUGAUGGUAAGGAGAAAUAGCAAGAUGCAGCUGAUUGUGUCCAUUUCUUGUGGUGAAGGGGGGAUAUUGCAGCGUUGAAUCCACACACCAUAAUACCAUAUAUAUAGGGAAAUGGAAGGAUAAGAGAUGACCUUUCUUUCUCUCUCUCCAUUGACAAUCUUCUAGGAUUAAUAUUACACUUGAUAUGGUGAAAAAUGAAGAGAUGAAGUGAAACAAAAUAAUUAAUGCAGUAUGAUAAUGCAAAUUACUUCUUUCUAAAGUCAUUUAAACAACCCGAACAAAUUUGAUAAGAAGAUAUAUAGAGAGGGAAAAAUGAGAUGUGCAUGAUAUGAAGUGUUUGGGUAUUUCAGUCUAUAGUUUGGUGGGUAUUUAAAUAUAGUAGUAUUUAUAUGUAUUUAUAUGUUCUCUU
This 33583-nucleotide long non-coding RNA is filed under the name Lotus japonicus. Its description in RNAcentral is "long non-coding RNA (LJAP_LNC001304)". Lineage: Eukaryota; Viridiplantae; Streptophyta; Magnoliopsida; Fabales; Fabaceae. The record is from RNAcentral.